AUUGAACGCUAGCGGGAUGCUUUACACAUGCAAGUCGAACGGCAGCACGAGGAGCUUGCUCCUCGGUGGCGAGUGGCGGACGGGUGAGUAAUAUAUCGGAAUGUGCCCAGUAGCGGGGGGAUAACUACUCGAAAGAGUGGCUAAUACCGCAUACGCCUACGGGGAAGGGGGGAGUCUUCGGACCUCUCACUAUUGGAGCAGCCGAUAUCAGAUUAGCUAGUUGGUGGGG
Molecule: ribosomal RNA, 229 nt
Filed under: uncultured bacterium
Lineage: Bacteria
Description: partial 16S ribosomal RNA
Rfam family: Bacterial small subunit ribosomal RNA
Source: RNAcentral